RNAcentral lists this unclassified non-coding RNA (253 nucleotides) under uncultured Rhodospirillales bacterium. Its description in RNAcentral is "contains 16S-23S intergenic spacer region". It matches the Rfam family "Bacterial small subunit ribosomal RNA", at positions 524 to 776 of the family's 1533-position model. The record is from RNAcentral. Lineage: Bacteria; Pseudomonadati; Pseudomonadota; Alphaproteobacteria; Rhodospirillales.
UACGGAGGGGGCUAGCGUUGCUCGGAAUUACUGGGCGUAAAGCGCGCGUAGGCGGUGAAUCAAGUUAGGCGUGAAAGGCCUGGGCUCAACCCGGGAACUGCGCUUGAUACUGGUUCGCUAGAAUCCGAGAGAGGGUAGUGGAAUUCCCAGUGUAGAGGUGAAAUUCGUAGAUAUUGGGAAGAACACCGGUGGCGAAGGCGGCUGCCUGGCUCGGUAUUGACGCUGAGGUGCGAAAGCGUGGGGAGCAAACAGG